This 338-nucleotide ribosomal RNA is filed under the name Burkholderia pyrrocinia. RNAcentral's name for it is "bacterial LSU rRNA". It matches the Rfam family "Bacterial large subunit ribosomal RNA", at positions 1222 to 1563 of the family's 2925-position model. The record is from RNAcentral. Lineage: Bacteria; Pseudomonadati; Pseudomonadota; Betaproteobacteria; Burkholderiales; Burkholderiaceae.
CGCAUGGUAGGAGAGCGUUCCGUAAGCCUGCGAAGGUGCGUUGAAAAGCGUGCUGGAGGUAUCGGAAGUGCGAAUGCUGACAUGAGUAGCGAUAAAGGGGGUGAAAGGCCCCCUCGCCGUAAGCCCAAGGUUUCCUACGCAACGUUCAUCGGCGUAGGGUGAGUCGGCCCCUAAGGCGAGGCAGAAAUGCGUAGCUGAUGGGAAGCAGGUCAAUAUUCCUGCACCAUUGUUAGAUGCGAUGGGGGGACGGAUCGCGGAAGGUUGUCCGGGUGUUGGAAGUCCCGGUCGCUGCAUUGGAGAAGGCGCUUAGGCAAAUCCGGGCGCGUAAUUCAAGGGUG